Molecule: ribosomal RNA, 352 nt
Filed under: uncultured bacterium
Lineage: Bacteria
Description: bacterial SSU rRNA
Rfam family: Bacterial small subunit ribosomal RNA
Source: RNAcentral
AGAGUUUGAUCAUGGCUCAGGAUGAACGCUAGCUACAGGCUUAACACAUGCAAGUCGAGGGGAAACGACAUCGAAAGCUUGCUUUUGAUGGGCGUCGACCGGCGCACGGGUGAGUAACGCGUAUCCAACCUGCCCACCACUUGGGGAUAACCUUGCGAAAGUAAGACUAAUACCCAAUGACGUCUCUAGAAGACAUCUGAAGGAGAUUAAAGAUUUAUACGGUGAUGGAUGGGGAUGCGUCUGAUUAGCUUGUUGGCGGGGUAACGGCCACCAAGGCGACGAUCAGUAGGGGUUCUGAGAGGAAGGUCCCCCANAUUGGAACUGAGGACACGGUCCAAACUCCUACGGGAGC